UUAAGUUGCAGGGUAUAGACCCGAAACCCGGUGAUCUAGCCAUGGGCAGGUUGAAGGUUGGGUAACACUAACUGGAGGACCGAACCGACUAAUGUUGAAAAAUUAGCGGAUGACUUGUGGCUGGGGGUGAAAGGCCAAUCAAACCGGGAGAUAGCUGGUUCUCCCCGAAAGCUAUUUAGGUAGCGCCUCGUGAAUUCAUCUCCGGGGGUAGAGCACUGUUUCGGCAAGGGGGUCAUCCCGACUUACCAACCCGAUGCAAACUGCGAAUACCGGAGAAUGUUAUCACGGGAGACACACGGCGGGUGCUAACGUCCGUCGUGAAGAGGGAAACAACCCAGACCGCCAGCUAAGGUCCCAAAGUCAUGGUUAAGUGGGAAACGAUGUGGGAAGGCCCAGACAGCCAGGAUGUUGGCUUAGAAGCAGCCAUCAUUUAAAGAAAGCGUAAUAGCUCACUGGUCGAGUCGGCCUGCGCGGAAGAUGUAACGGGGCUAAACCAUG
Molecule: ribosomal RNA, 498 nt
Filed under: Escherichia coli
Lineage: Bacteria; Pseudomonadati; Pseudomonadota; Gammaproteobacteria; Enterobacterales; Enterobacteriaceae
Description: partial 23S ribosomal RNA
Rfam family: Bacterial large subunit ribosomal RNA
Source: RNAcentral